UAUAGUACAUAAAAUUUUAAAGAAAGUUGUGAUAUAGUUUUACAAUAAUAUAGAUAUACAACAAAUAUGAAGUUAGGAGUUCAUAAUGAUGGAAGCAUUGUUUUUACCCUACAUUGUUUUAGACGUGCAUGAAUAAUAUAAUAUAAUGCUGUAUUAUUAUUCUUGUGUUUGAUAAUAAAUUUUAGCCUGUUUUUUGAACGAUUGGUAAAAUUGGAUGGAUUUUAAAUCUUCGUUCAAAUUACUCCAAAUAUCUACUCCUUUAUUGGAGAGAGUAUGUUUCAUAUAAUUAGUUCGGGUGUAGG
Paramuricea clavata is the source of this 302-nucleotide non-coding RNA. The record is from the annotation of a GenBank genome assembly. NCBI's taxonomy places the organism in Eukaryota, Metazoa, Cnidaria, Anthozoa, Malacalcyonacea, Plexauridae.